AGUGAACGCUGGCGGUAGGCCUAACACAUGCAAGUCGAACGGCAGCACAGUAAGAGCUUGCUCUUACGGGUGGCGAGUGGCGGACGGGUGAGGAAUACAUCGGAAUCUACUUUUUCGUGGGGGAUAACGUAGGGAAACUUACGCUAAUACCGCAUACGACCUACGGGUGAAAGCAGGGGAUCUUCGGACCUUGCGCGAUUGAAUGAGCCGAUGUCGGAUUAGCUAGUUGGCGGGGUAAAGGCCCACCAAGGCGACGAUCCGUAGCUGGUCUGAGAGGAUGAUCAGACACACUGGAACUGGAACACGGUCCAGACUCCUACGGGGGGCAGCAGUGGGGAAUAUUGGACAAUGGGCGCAAGCCUGAUCCAGCCAUACCGCGUGGGUGAAGAAGGCCUUCGGGUUGUAAAGCCCUUUUGUUGGGAAAGAAAAGCAGCAGGUUAAUACCCCGCUGUUCUGACGGUACCCAAAGAAUAAGCACCGGCUAACUUCGUG
This 492-nucleotide ribosomal RNA is filed under the name uncultured bacterium. Its description in RNAcentral is "partial 16S ribosomal RNA". It matches the Rfam family "Bacterial small subunit ribosomal RNA", at positions 29 to 507 of the family's 1533-position model. The record is from RNAcentral.